UUAUAGAGUUAUUGUCACUAUGCCAGCUUCUGUGAGCAUUGAGAGGAGAAUCGUUCUUCGAGCUUUUGGAGCUGAAGUAUGCCUCACAAACCCAGCCAAGGGCUUUAAGGGGGCAUUAGACAAGGCUGACGAGAUACUGAAGAACACACCUAACGGUUACAUGCUACGGCAAUUCGCAAACCCUGCCAAUCCUCAGGUAGCAUCUUUACUGUUGUAACAUUUCUAUUGUUUCAUCAGGUGAUGUUUAAAAGAAGUAACGAAUUCUUUGUUUAAGAUUCAUUACGAAACCACCGGUCCAGAGAUAUGGAAAGACUCGGAAGGGAAAGUUGAUGUACUGGUUGCAGGCAUAGGGACUGGUGGUACAGUAACAGGUGCAGGGAGAUUCCUCAAAGAGAAAAACUCAGAGAUCAAGGUUUGUUCCCCAUUCGAGACCGAAAUUUAGACAAGGAGCCUAUGUCCUUGUUGUUAUAUUCAUAAGAGCAUAUUCUUCUUUUGUCAAAGUAUAGGUAUAUGGGGUAGAACCUGUUGAAAGUGCAGUCUUGAAUGGUGGAAAACCUGGUAAAUUUUCAAGUCACUUUCUUCCUUUUUUAUGUGGUUCGUGCAGUAUCUGGUACUUGACUAUUUCCUUCAUUGCAUUGCCUGUGUGAUGCAUGUCAAAGGCUCUCAUCUGAUCCAAGGAAUUGGUGCUGGUAUCAUCCCUGAUGUUUUGGAUGUUGGCCUCCUUGAUGAAGUUGUCCAGGUAAGUCUCAACAGCAUGUUCAAUAUUUCAAACAGCUCUUGGAAACUCUGCAAUUGGUUCGAUUUCUGAAAAAUUAAUGAACUUUCGUUUUUGUCACAAGGAUAGUACUUGUUUCCCUUCUAAUAAUCCGUUUUCCUUUGCCAUGGGAAGCACCAAUCGUCUGAUCCAUUGAUUAUCCUGUAUGAUGGCCAUGGUAGCUUCCUAGAAACAGUCCAAUGAAACUUUGCACAUCAAUCACCCGAUCCAUUGAUUCUCCUGUAUGAUGACCAUAGUAGUUCCUAGAAACAGUUCAAAGAAACGUCGCAAUCGCUUCAGUUUCUGAAAAAUUAAUGAUUUUUUCAUUUCUGUCAUGAUAGCAGUACCAUUGAUUCUCCUGUAUGUUGACCAUAGUACUUAUUGCUGUUCUAACUUCUUAGGUAUCUAGUGAAGAAGCCAUUCAAACUGCUAAACAGAUAGCCUUGAAAGAAGGUUUACUGGUAUGUUUGUAAUCGUUAAUCAAUUCUUACGACCCUCUAGAUCACUUGUUCUUCUUUUGUCCUUAUUCUCUUGAUCAUAUGAAUAAUAUUGACAGGUUGGUAUAUCAUCUGGUGCUAAUACAGCAGCUGCAAUUAAGUUGGCAAAGAGGCCAGAAAAUGCUGGCAAACUCAUAGUUGUGAGUUACAUUCCCUUCUUCAAGUUUAUCUAUAUCUUAUAGGCUAUAAUAAUUGUUGAUAUUUUUCGGAUUCUUCAUUUUUUUCUAUACUAUUGGUGAUAUAUACUUGAACAUAGGCAUGAAACAUAAGCAGGAGAUAUGACCCAAAAUGCUCAUGUUUUUUUAUUUGUUUAAUUGGUUACAUACGACUAACACUUGAGCUUCUCUGUUUUUAUAUCAGGUAAUUUUUCCCAGUGCGGGUGAGCGUUACCUGUCGUCUGCAAUGUUUGAGUCCCUAAGGCAUGAAGCAGAAAACAUGCCCAUUGAUUGAUGCCAUUGUUAUCCUCAAUCACAAAUUCCUUGUACUUAGCAUUCCACUAUGAACUAUGUCUACCUCUGCCUUUUUCUUUGUAUUUUGUGUUCUAUGUUAUUCGGGUUUAAGAUAAAUAUUAAAUACGGGUACGUGUAUGACAUGUAUAAGCUCAAUUUUUUUUUCGUUUUUCUUUAAUUUCCAUAUUUGAAUAUUUGGAAGGUUGUCAAAGAAUCAUAUUUUUAUACCAUAUUUGAAUAUAUGUGGAUAUCGAAACAUGAAUAUUUCUAGAAAAAUAAAAGAAAAUUUAAUAUGAUUUUUUCUAAUAUAAUAGAAAAAAUGUGGCAUAAAUUAAAAAAAAAUUAAAAAUUAAACAAGGUAAGGUGAUUUGUAGUUGCAGGGUUGCUCAGAGGGUUGAAAGACAUGGGCGGAAUGGGAUUGGUAGCGUUAAACGAUGUAGAAUUCUGUGUUGUGGGGGCAUUGAGGAAACUAGCGAAACGAGAAACAAAUGGAUCAGUAAAGGUUGGAACAAUAGGAAGCGAUUAUGAACUCUUUUUUAGCAGGUUUUGAUAAUAACCAAAAUAUGGAAAUCCGAGGAUAAGGAGAAUAAAAACUCAAAGAAGAAGCCUAUAAGGUGUCCGUUGAGGAGGAUGUUAACACUGCAAAGGUGAAUAACCUGGAGCAACUUCUCAUGACAUUUUCUGUUUGGCAGAAGGCAGACUUUUGCAUCCAUGGCAAGAAAAUAUAAAGGGAGAAAAUCAGAUGUUAUGUUAUUUCGAUUCUUUAAUUUUUUCCGAAGUAUUCACGUUUGAUAUAUUUGGAUAUCAGUAUGAUUGUAUUAGGAUAUAUAUAAUCCUAUGAAAAAUUUUAGGCUUGCUGGUUAUAUUAGGUAAGUUCAUACGGUAUAUUUGUGUUAAAAUUUUAUGUAUUUAAAAUUAUAGUUGUAAAUAUGUUUAAUUGAAAUUCUGAUCGUUUACACUUCGAUAUGAAGAGGUGAGGUAAGAGAUUAAAUUGAACAAAAUUGAAGAUAGUAUAAUUUAAUAAAUUAAGGAAUUGACUUUGAAUUGGAUUGAAAUAAUUUAUGUUAUGUGAUAAAGUGAUAAUUCGAUAAAAAUAAGUUAAAUUGAUUCGAUUUAAAUUGGUUGUAUGUGAAAAGAACUGAAUUGAACAGAUUAAAAAAAUAUAUCAAAUAUUAUUUGAAAUGUGGAAUUAUACAAAUGUGGUGAUGAGCUAUGAUAUAUGUAUGAAAUUCUUGAUUUGAUUGAUUGAUAGUAAAUUGAGUAAUGAAUACCCUAUUAAGUUCGGGCAGAGACAUAUAUAGUUGGCAUGUCAUAAGAUAGGAAGAGUUCAGGGUUACUUCGACGACGAGUCGAUGAGGCACUGGGUGCCAAUUUGCUUCGAUUUAACUGAUGAGACACUGGGUGUCAAACCUAUUUAUAGUGCUGGACGCAACUAUUUGCUUCAAGUUUAUCCGAUGAGGAACUGGGUGCCAAACUGAUGUGUUGGUUGGAUUGUGUAUUUGUUCGAGUCCGAGUCGUGUUAAUAGGGAGAUAAAAGAUAAAAAAAAAUGAUGAUAAUGAAUAAGCAUUUGAAAUCCAUGAAAUCAUAAAAUUGAAUGUGAAAUGUGGUAUUCGUUAUUGAGAUGGCAAAUGGAUAAGAAAUGGAAGAAAAAUGCGAAAUGAAAUGUUUAUUUGUGACAUGUGAUGAUAUGAUGAUCAGAUGAUACAUAUACAUAUUGAUAAUAGGUUAUAUAAGACCAGGGAGCUAAUAUGAAAACAUGAUAAAUUGAUGAAUGUGAUUCAAAAUUAGUAUUAUGAAAUAAAGUAGUGAUUGAUAUUUAAUUGACAUUCAAUAUAUAUUUGGUAUAAAGAUGGAUUUCUAUGUUUUGAAUUGAGAUUUCAAAUAAUGAAAUGAAAAUCAAUGUUUGGCAUUAAUUUGAAAUGAGAUAUAUUGUAGAUAAAUAGAUUGUAUGAAAAGUUAAGAUAGUGAAUUGAUUUAAAUGAUAAUUCUUCUGUGAAUAGUAAUGAAAUGUUGAAUAAGUGAAUUGAAUAUUAUAUGAUUGAGUUACUAUAUGGUUCGAUAAUUGUCGAACUCACCUUUUUUAUAUGUAAUUUGCCAUGAUAGACAAACUUUAUCAAGCUAAGUAGCAAGUAGUGUAUAAUUAAAACUUGAGGUAAGUUACUUGGUUUUAAUACAUGUGAACUUACUAAGCAAUUGUAAUGCUUACUCCCUUAUUUCCUUUUUCCCUGUAAUGUCAACUUGUGGAACGUGUUAGGUGGAUCGUCGAGAAGCUCACACUAUCCUGGUAUUGAUUCAGUAGUCUUUCUAUCGUUUAAAACUCAAUUCUGUGGCAUGUAUAUAGGUGAAUCAUUUUUGGUUAUUCUUGAAUGUUAAUAUUUUGGUUCUUGAUUGAGGUUUGUGUUUUAAAUGGUUAUAUGAUAUGUACAUAGGCUAUUUUGGAUUGAUGGUUUAAAGUUAUAAGUUGAAGUUGUAAUUUGUUAUAAUGGUUGCCAUGCAUAAGAAUGAAUUUAAUGAUUACCAUGGUAUGUAUGAAGAGUAAAUGAUGAUUGCAUGUCUGGUUGAUGGGUGUCGAAUCCACCAAUAUAAACCUACGCCUUAGUUUGCAAAUUAUGCAGUAUAGGGAGUAGGGUCGAUCCCUCAGAGACUGGUUUACUAUAAACUGUUGCUCGCUUGACCAGAUUUAUGUCGGGGCAGCUGUCGUGCCCAAGGCGUUCGGGGGGAUAAAAAUUUGAAAAUCUGAAAUUAACAGAAAAAUAACGUCAAAAGUAAAAGUUGAAAACAGAAUAAUAAAAACCGUGAAAUAAAUAUUAAGGAAAAUUAAUUAGAAUGAGCUCAGCUUUAGACACGAAUAGCUCAGCUUUAGACACGAAUUUUCCUCGUCUUUAAACCGAUCCUCGAAAUUGGACGAACUCCUCUUUUCCAAUAAGCUAGUUAUAGCUACCAAGGACGCCUCGGACACCAACUCUUCCUUGUGUAAAUUAGUUAUGGAACGUUCAAUAACUAAUUCUUACCGAUCGAACAACCACGAAACGUUCNNNNNNNNNNNNNNNNNNNNNNNNNNNNNNNNNNNNNNNNNNNNNNNNNNNNNNNNNNNNNNNNNNNNNNNNNNNNNNNNNNNNNNNNNNNNNNNNNNNNGUGGGACAUUUAAAUCCGGUUACUACUUCCCUUGACGGAACCAAACAACAAUCUCCACUUGGCACACCAAUGUGUUCACAGAAAACCAAUUAGAAACGUUCCUUUCGGAAUUCCAACUGUACGUCUAACCACACUAAAUCAAACGACGUCUUUUUUGACUUAGUGUUGAUCUGACUUUAUGAGUUGACAAAAUCAUACUCUUAAUCUGGAGAAGUAAUAAGUACUGAAAUUUUAGGAGUUAAAUGGCUCGGGUUCGUAACUCACGGAUUUUGACGAGGCUAAUUUCGGCCUAAAGCUGAAAAUGGAUUUAGUUGGCUAAGGUUUGGGACAUGUUGGUGUUUGAUAAAUUAAAUAAGGUAGAAAUGGUGAAAAGAUGGGUGAUGUGAUUAGUAUGGGGGUUGGAAUAUAUUAAAGUGGGGUGGUUGACUAUUUGGAAAAAAAUUGAAAAAGGAAUUGCAAAUGGCUUGAUUUGGUGAUUAGCUACUGGAAAUUAAAAAUUGAAGGAAAGGAAACUAAAGAAACAACAAUGCUAUGUGAGAAAAGAGAGAAUGUAUUGAAAGACAACAGCUAAAUGUUUUUUGAUUGAUGAAUUGAUGAACAAUACAUGCUCUAUUUAUACUAGAGGAUUUACUAAUUUAGGAGCCAACUAGUCUAGAAAAUCAAGGAAAAAUAAAAAUAAAAAUAUUCCAUGACAAAAAAUAUCCCAAAAUAAUCUCCCCCACAAAGUCAACAAAAUUUUCAGCUAAUUAAUAUUGGAAAAAUUCUACUUUGGCCCUCCUUCUUUGCUUCUUUCUUCAAUUUGCCCCAAUUGUUUCCUUUUUCUUCUAUUUAGCCCCAAAUUACAUUCCUGCACAAAAUUCAAUAAAUAUGACAAAAUUAGUGGUGCAUUCUCAUAAAUUAACCAAAUUAAUUACAUAAAAUAUAUAACUUUAGCAUUUAAUCACUGGUGUUGGUAUGCUUGAUUUUGGAUCAUGAAUUAGUUGAGAAAUGGUAAUCUUGGGUGAAAUGUAUGGUACAUGUAUAUUUGAUAGUUGUAGUAUAUGCAUUCAUUAAAUUAAAUUGUUUCAAUGAUAUGGUAAGUUUUGAGUAUGUACAAAAGGUAAAUUGUACUACGAUGAUACAUGCUUGUGUGUAUAAUUGAGUUUAAGUUUUGAAUUUGGUUGUGAUGGUGCCAAAUGACAUAAUAGUUAGUAUUAGAAUUAUGGUACCUAAUUGCAUACUUAGUUAUUAAUUAUAAUAGGUAAGAUAAUUCGUAGAUCAUGGUUGAAUCAUGACAUGUUUGUAAUGGAUUGAGUGAGUUUUAUGCACGUCAUAUGUGUACCUAUUUGUACCUAUGAAUUAAUAUAUAGGUUUGGGCAUGAAUUGAACUUUCAAACUUGAUAUUUUUGACUAUCUGGAUAAAAGUAUCGAUACCAGGGGCCAAUGUAUCGAUACUUAACCAAAUGAACAGUGUUUUCAAAUUACAGAAUGACAAAAUGGUAUCAAUAUCAAUUUUAGUAUAUCGAUACCUAUCACAAAAAUAUCGAUACUUAUUUUUUUGGUAUCGAUACUUAGUUCAAAGUUUUGAAAAAAAUUUACAGUUUGGUCAUUUUUCAUGCCCGAAUCUAAUCUAUUGUAUUUUAAAGCUCAAUUUAGUUCCGUUUUCACUUUUUUAAUAAUUAAUGUGUGUAUUUAUAUGAUAAUUCAAUAUUUUGAUUUACAUGUGAUUGUUUCGAAUUUAUUUGUAACAUUUCGUAGCUCGGGUCCGGCAAUCAAAUCGGUUAUGAGAUGUUACACCACUAUAACGUUUAAAUCGUUAUUUAUGCUAUCAAUAUACUCAUGUGUCAAAUGCGGAUAAUCAAGAAAAAUAAAAAGGAAAAUGUUUUCCACAUCAGUAGGCAAGUGCAUACACUGUUGACUAGAACCAUGGAAACACAAUACAUUAUUUUAAGAAUGUAACUAGAAAUACUAUUCUUUGUAACCUAGUGAACAGGGGCCACUUUAAUGAGUUAUCGGUGAAGUGGCCACUUUACAUGUUCUUAUAUGUUAUCUUCUUUUAUUUUUUUCUUGUUCAUCACUGAUAACUCAUUAACCAUGUAAAGUGGCCACUUCACUGAGAACAUGUUCAUCUUCUUUUAUUUUUGUCUUCUUGUUUAUUGUUGGAAUAUCCAAAGGCAUCCCCACCAACUAUUGAUUUGUUCUUUGAUUCUUGUACAUUCUUGGGUGUUUUCUAUUUCCUUUUUCUCAUUACAUGUUUGACUGAUUCUUCUGUUUCCACGGCUUGGGGAACAAGUAUUUCUUGCCUAUUCCUCUGUUAUCUAAGCUGGUUGAUGCCCUUUAUAAACAGUUCAGAAGCUUGCGUUUUGCAAUAAGAAAACCUUGUUUUCCUUUGUUGAAGUGCGGAAAUUCUGAGAAUCCUCCAUGGAGGACAAAUAUGCAAUCAAGAAAGAUGUUACUGAAGUAAUGUUUCUUUUCUCAAUCAUUUAAGUGUUGUUGAUAUUGCCAUUAGUCUUCUGCAACUUGUUUUGAUCUCAUCGUGGCUUAUGCAGUUAAUAGGUAACACGCCUAUGGUAUAUCUGAACAAUAUCGUCGAUGGUUGCGGAGCUCGAAUUGCUGCCAAGCUUGAGCUGAUGGAACCUUGCUCCAGUGUUAAAGACAGGCAUAAAUUUCAUUUACAUUUGAUUUUUACAUUCUUCACAGCAUCUUGCAAACUGUUACCUGCAGAAUAAUGCCUUUGUUCAUUGUUUAUCGAUCCCCAGGAUUGCAUACAGUAUGAUUAAAGAUGCAGAAGAUAAGGGCUUGAUUACGCCCGGGAAGGUAUGGUGCCGUAUUCGAAGAUGCUUUGCUCAGUUUAGCUUCCCAGUUAAUGCAUAUGAAGUGGUUGUUUGAUAACCUAACCAGGAUGAAAUAUAGACCCAAGAACAGUUAAAACUUCAGAUUGUUUUGGAAGACUAUCGUAAUAUCUUCUGCAGUUUUCAAUUGACUUUUGAUCAAAUGAGGGCUAUUUUCAACAUGGAAUGGUCCAGACACGGAACAUUUAAGCUAACAAAUUUCCCGUUUCUUCUGCAUAUAUUGAAAUAAUAUCGGCUAUAGAGUGUUCUCAUCGACACUACCAGUGGUAAUACCGGCAUUGCAAUGGCUUUCACUGGGGCAGCCAGCCAGGGGUUAUAAAGUUAUUGUCACAAUGCCAGCUUAUAUGUUUUAUGUUUCAUUUAUAUUAUCUAAUCACAUAAUAUUUUAUUUUAUUUUAUCUUAUCUAAUCACUUAAUUAAUAUUUAUAAUAAAUUAAUAUUUAUUUAAAUAGUACAAUUAGUGUAAACUUGACAUUAGAAACUAAUUGUUUAUAAAUUAUUCAUUAAGAAACGCAACUCAUAACUAUUCUUUGUAAUCUACUUAAAUAAAAACAAUUAAAUAACAAAAUAUAAUAAUUGUAAUUGUUAAAAUAUACUAUUAGUCCUUUUACUUUUUACAAAUUUAAAAUUUAACUAUUAUACUUUUACUUUUAAAAAUUUAAUCUUUUUAUUUUUCAGAUUUUAAAAUGUAGAUUCAAUUUUAGUAUGGUUAAAUUUAUUCAUUAAAUUUGUUGGUGCAACAUUUUGAAAAAAAAAAUUGUAUUCAUUAAGUAAUUUAAAAAAAUUAACGUUGUAAUAAAGCUACAUUUAACAAAAUAAUUUUAAAAGUAUUAAUAAUUAGACUUAAUUUUAAAAUUUAAAGAAUAAAGUAAUUAAAAUUUUUAAAAUAAAAAUAUAAAAAUUAAAUUCUAAAUUUACCAAAAAUAUGGAAUAUUUUAACAUAAUAUAAUAUACAUUUACAGUCUGCUAAGCUUGACUUUAGAAUUUGACCAUGGUAAAGUAAAGCUGGAAUAUAAGCAAAAGUUGCUUACUUAAGUGUGAUGGGAGUUGGUGUAAUAUCAAUGCAUAAUUGUUCUUCUUGUUCCUUGUUGAAACAUCCAAAGGCUUAACCGCUGUUUUACUUGUUUUUACGGGGAAUAUAGCCUUAUUAUUAUUAUUAUUAUUAUUGAAAUGGGUCAAGUAAAAAAUUAAUUAUCGGAAUGACCCUAUUUCCCCGAAACUGUAUACACGUCAACGCAUUGUUAGGUGACGAAGUAGAAAAACGCUUUCUUAAGGAAGCGUUUUCCCCGUGCCUCCUGCUAGGAUUAGGGUUUAGGGUUUAGGGUUAAGGUUUUGAGGGUUUUAGGUUUAGGUUUUUAAAGAAAAAAUUAAAUAAAUAAGGGAUUAGGGUUCAGAGUUUCUUAAUUAAAUUAAUUAUAAAAUUUUCAAAAUUAGAUGUUUUGUGUUUAUGGUUUUUUUUAAAAUCAAUUAAAUUAGGGUUUAGAGUUACUUGAGUAAAUUAAUUAAAAAAAUUUAAAAAAUUAGAUUAGGGUUUAGUGUUAAGAGUUUUUAAGGAAAAAUCAAAUAAAUUAAGGUUUAGGGUUACUUGAGUAAAUUAAUUAUAAAUUUUAAAAAAAUAGCUUAGGGUUUAGUGUUUAGGGGUUUUAAGGAAAAACUCAAAUAAAUUAGGGUUUGGGGUUUAGAGUUACUUAAUUAAAUUAUUUGUUAAUUUAAAAAAGCUCCCAUGUAGACGCUCUUUUGCUACAAUAGCUCCUUAAAAAAUAAUUUCGAGAAGACGUUUCUGAGCAAAUAGUGUCAAAAACGCUUUAAGCAGGAUGCAUUAUCAGCAAAAGUACUGAAAGAAGCUCCCACGUGGACGAGCUUUUGCUACAGUAGCUCCUGAAAAAAUAAUUUCGAGUAGACGUUUCUAAGCAAAUAGUGUUAAAAACGCUUUAAGUAGGAUGCAUUGUCAGCAAAAGUACUGAAAGAAGCUCCCACGUGGACGCGCUUUUGCUACAGUAGCUCUUGAAAAAAAAAUUUAAGUAGACGUUUCUGAGCAAAUAGUGUCAAAAACGCUUUAAGCAGGAUACUUUGUCAGCAAAAGUAUUGAAAGAAGCUCUCACGUGGACGCGCUUUUGCUACAGUAGCUUCUGUUUGGCCUGAGGCUAUAAAUGAGGCAAAUUUUUUUCUCAGAUUGCAUAAGUUACAGGAAAAAAAAUUUAGAGAGGCUAAGAAGGAUAGAAAUUGAAUAUGAGUGAACGUAUUAGUGUUGUUAUUUACUAUGAUAGUGAGGUUCGUCACACCGAGAAUGGUGUUAUUUUUUUAUCAGAGAAUACAGUGAGACUGGUCUUUAACCAGAACAUAGAUUUGACAGAACUUCGUAAAAGAAUUAGGCGUAAAAUAUUUGGAACGACGUCAAUAAAAGUUCUAUCUAUUACGUAUCGGUUUUGUUCUUCUAUUGAUCCAGUGACAUACGACUCGUUCGACAUAAAAAGUGCUCGUAGCUUGGAGGUAAUGGUGCAGACUUAUCUCGCUAGUGGAGCACCCUAUAUUGAGUUAUAUGUACAAUUUACAUCGCCAAAUGAUGCACUUGCGACUGCUGUUCGAGAGGUAUACACGACCCCUGCUCGACAGUCGGUUAGUGGGUUAAAAACACGGAACAACCCAUGUUUGGUAGCGGUAUGAAAUACGUAACCCCUGCACGACACUCUGUUAGUGGAUGAGACAUGCACCUCGGUGGGUCGAUGUUUGAUGUUGGAAAUACGUACUGGGGAACGGUAUCAACUUCUAGUGGUUGGCAAUUUACAUUCAAUUGGGGACGUUAUGAAACGCCCAGAAGAAGGGAUGAUGUACUCCCUAUGAAAUCCACUGGUGAGGGGACCUCGUACGUUGCAGAUAAUGGUGGGUUAUAAGAUGACUCCGAUGUGGAUCCACCUCGAGAGCUAGGUCCCGAUGGUGCAGAAGUUGCAUUAUUUUCAGAACCGGAGCCUAUUCCAAUCGAACCUGAAGAUGUUGAAGGGGGUUUAGAUGAAGAAGAAGAUCCACGAUUCAGGGCAUACUCACCUCUAGCCUACAUGCAUAAUGUCGAUCUAUCUGUAGAUGAUGUGUUAGAGUUUCCAGAUCUACCACAUAGGUUACGUGAUCGUACAAGUUCGCUACUGGAUUAAGGUGAAUUUGAAGUUGGUAAUAAGUUUUCCAACAAGAAUAGUUUUAUUGGUGCAUUGAAACAACAUAGCAUCAAUAACGGCGUUAACUACCUCGUGGUUAAAUCUAAAGCUGAUAAGUUUGAUGCGAAGUGUGCAGUGCAAGAUGGUACAUGUUCAUGGAAAAUCUACGCCUCGUUGAGGAAAAUGACAGGGUUGUGGGAGAUAAAAAAGUACACAGGUCCACAUAUAUGUGAUGAAUGUAUAGUAUUUAGGGUUUCUGAAUAAUACUGUUAUUAUGUAAUGUUGCAUUAUUUAAUGUACUCCGUUGAUAGGUAUUUCACAAGAUCAUCCAAGAUGGAUUCAGCUAUGUUAGCUAGCUUGAUACUACCCACGGUGAAGGUAGAUCCCAAGACUUCAGUGCCGGUCUUAAUUGCCAAUAUUCGUAGCCAAAUGGGAUACACGCCCUCUUACCGCAAGGCUUGAAUAGUUAAACAGAAGGCGUUGGAAAAGUUGUAUAGUGGGUGAGACGCUUCAUAUAAUGAAAUAUGGCUGUGGUGUCAAGUGCUAGAGAAAUACGUCCCAGGUUGCAUAACAAACCUUGAAACGGAACAUGCGUAUUACAACGGCCGGUUGUUACGUGGAUGCCAAGUGUUCAAACGCCUGUUUUGGACCUUUAAGCAAUACCGAGACGCAUUUUCAUACUGCAAGCCAUUAGUAGAAAUUGACGGUACCUUUAUGUUUGGUAGAUAUACCCAUCAGCUAUUGUUAGCAGUGGCAUAGGAUGGCAGUGAGAGAAUUCUUCCAAUUGCGUUUGCAAUAACACCGGGGGAGUCAGCUGAUGACUGAGAUUUCUUUUUAUCUAGGUUAAGGAGGCAUGUGUGCCCCCAACCUGAUAUCUGUGUUAUUUCAGAUCGGGGCACCAGAAUACUAGUUGCAAUUGAUCAACAUGGAAGCUUACGGCAGUGCAUUCACCAUCAGUAUUGCCUAAAGCACGUUGCUUCCAACUACUACAGGUAAUAUCCAUCUAAGAGUGAAUGACGACAAGUGACCAACAUGGGUAUUUAGUCUCUAUUAGUGUAAUUUUGUUUGUCAUUUUGAAUUUAUUCUAAAUGAAAGAGUGGUACGUAAUAUUCGCUAUGAACUUAUAUUAGCAGGGUAUGAAAUAAAUAAAAACUGUUUUCAUGAGAUGUUGGCAGUUUUACGUUUAAUUAACGGCGAAGGUACAGGCUACCUUUGUAACAUACCUUUCGAACAGUGGGCACAAGCAUACGACGGUGGCCUACAAUAUGGUCAUAUGACCUCAAACCUGGCUGAAUGCAUAAAUUCUGUUCUAAAAGGAACGCGCCAUCUACCGAUAACAUCGGUUGUGCGAGAGAUAUUUUCGUUUAGCGGUGCUAUUUCCAAAGCGAGCAGCGAGUUAUGCAGGCCAGAUGUAGGGAGGUCAUGUAUGGUGCAGUAAGGUAGUGCAAGAAAUUAACAAGGCCAAAGCACGGGUGAACAUCAUGCACACAGUGUGUCACGAUUGAGACAACUUAUGGUUUCGCAUGACAGAGUUUGACAGACCGCACUAAGAUGUUAUUGGCGGGCAAUAUCGUAUACACUUGCGAAAUAGGACUUGCGACUGUGGGAUGUUUGACGCACUUCGUUAUCCAUGUGUUCAUGUAAUUGCAGCUUGUCAGAAUCUCCGUCUAGAUUCGAUGAGCUAUGUCGACGAAGUUUACAAAUUAGAAAACAUGUACAACAUCUAGAGACACAUAUUCCCACCGGUCCCAGAUGAACGUAAGUGGUCAUCUGUAUCGCUUGCUCCCUUUAAGCUGUUACCAGAUAGAGAAUUGCGUCGCAAACUAAAGGGUCAACCUUGCUCGACUAGAAUACGUAACAAUAUGGAUAUCUGAGAAAUAGCCAGUCAACAGAAGUUGUGCGAAUGGUGUAGGAACCCGGGCCAUACAAGCCGAUUAUGCCCAAAUCGCAAUAGUUGAACGUUAUGGUAAAAAACUUUGUAUUAUUUAUAUUUUUAAAUCAAAUAGUAUAAAAAUAUUCAGAAUACUGACUUAUUUAAAAGAAAAUCUAUUUUAUUAAAAAUAUUAAAGUAAAUUACAAUUACUUUAUUCAAAACAACGUUUUAUUCAUUAAAUGAAAUAAUAUAGAAAUAUUCAAAAUAUUGUGUUAUCUAAAAAAAAUUCUAUUAUAUUAAAAUGUAAAAGUAAAUUUCUAUUUUAUUACAUGAAAUAAUAUAGAAGAAUUUCUAUUUUAUUACGUCAAAUAAUAUCAAAAUGUUUGUACAAAUAUAUUAAAAUAAAAAAUAAUCUCCGUGCCAACUGGAUUCAGUGCCACAUGGCGGCCGUCGACGGUUAAGCGCUGGAUUCCUCCUUUGUCCAGCUUCUGGCGGGGGUUGUGGUUACUCUAGAGGGGAUUUUGGUUCCUCUAGUAGGGGAUCUGGUUAUCGGUGUUGGGACGAUGAGCCACCUUGAUAGAAUAGUGACUGUGGAGGUAUUUGCAUCACCAACGACGAAGCUGCUUGAAACUCAUACGGUGAUGGGGAUUGGUAAAAAGAAGAGCUCCUCGAUGGCCCCUCCUGUGAUCCCUCGUACGACGGUGGCCUAUACAUCGGCGGUCCACUCGGCAUAAUCAAAAAUAGAGAUGAACAGGGCCAUGAACUCCAACCUACGAUAUGACUAGAAACAGGAAACAUAUAAGGGUUUGGAUACAUAAAAGGGCUAGGAUACGUACCUGACAUCAUCUGAAAAGGCUGUGCUGUGGGUGUCGUCGGUUGAAGUGUUGGGCCUGGUGACUGUGUGGGUGCUGUUGCUGGGCCUGGUGAUGGGCCGGGUGAUUGUGAUGGGCCUGCGUCGUCAUUUCUUCUUCUUGGAUUUAAAGGGCCACGUCGUUCCCUUUGGAUACGCAAUUGUCGCUGUCUCUCCUCUGCCGAUAGUAAAUAUGGCUUGCCAUGGAUCCUAAACCAUGGCAUGUAUUUUGGCACGCACGCUAACUCUGAAACGAUGAUCGGUUCUUGAGUAGGUAUAUAAUCAUACUGAUCUUCCCACAUUUGGAUGUAGUGUGACCAGAAUCUCGGUCAAUCCAUAUGCAAUUGCCGUAGGUUGAUUUUGUGAUGAUCAUCCAACACCUCAGGUACUACAGGAAUCGGUUGUCGAAAUCCAAAUUACCGUAAUACUUUGUUUGACUGGUGCAUCUCCACGGUCGUAAAGUUGACCAAUGAGACUUUCACAUGCCAAGUGUUUGGAUUUUGGAAGUACUCAUCCGAAAUUACUGCCCGAAUUGCCGGAUCCUCGUAUGGUGUCCAUUGAAACUAUAUGAACAUGAUAAAAAUAUUAGUUACAUACAUAAUACAUAAUACUAAAUACUAAAUACCAAUCGACUAUCUCAUGAUGGAAAUGUUUAUUUUAUUUAAUACUUACUUGUGCUUCCGACCGUUGGUCUAAUAGAAGCCGUAUAUCUUUAAGAGAGGUAGGUAAUCGAGCAUAACUUGCCGAAUGGUUCCACCUGAUUAAAUAAAUUUUUAGCAUACAAUUAUAUUUUAAAUCUACGUAAUAAUUGUAAAAUCUAAUAUAAAAUUUACCUCGCUAUGAGUGAGAAUGUAUACGGGUGGUCCACUCGAGGGCGUAAAAAUAGAAAGCGAAACCGUACCCAUGACUGCAAUAGUGAUAGGCUACCUCCGAUUUUUGUUUUAUUCGGUUGUGUCGCCCCGCACAUCUCUCGGUACAAUGUUGCCAACACGGCAGACCCUCAACUAAAUUCACCAGCUGCUCUAAAAUCAACGAGUUUCAGCAGUCAUCUCAGAUGUACAAGGUUCCGUGACAAGUCUGGCAUCAGAUAACCUCUAAUUAUUUGAAGAAUGUAUGCCUGAGCUUAUCGAAUUCUUUCUAGUUCGGUAGAACCAUCAUCCGCUUUGGGAAUGUGUCUCGUAACCAACCCAUCUCGAUUUGACCUCCGUUAAUAUUAUCCAGAAUAGCGUUCAAAAGCUCAUAGCAUACCGCUCCCCAAUCACCAGAUUGAACAGACCCGGUGACUGCGUACCCGUCUACCGGCAAUCUCAAUUCAAAUUUACGUCUUCUAAAGUGAUAGUACACUCUCUACAUGGAAGAUGGAAUGUGUGCAUCUCGGGUCUCCACCUCUCAAUCAACGCACUGAUGAGUUUCGAGUCCAACUUGCAUCCCCGGCCUAACGUCGCUACGUGCCAAAAACUCGUUUCCCGCAACUAAUUCUCUACCAACGGUGAUUGAGGACCAUGCAUAUUACGAAUAUAACAUUGCAAUAUCCGAUCUACAGUCUUUUAUAAGAAAUAAUAAAAUAAAAAUUAUUUAAAAUUGCAUAAAUCAAAAAAAUCUUAAAUAAUAUCUAAAUAUUAAAUUUAACAUUUACCAUUUUCAUUUGUUCGAUGAAUAUGUACUUGUUAUUGAGACAAAUUAAUUCUUCGGUCAUUGCUAACACGAUCAAAUUUUUAUGAUUUAAAAAAAAUUCAAAAAAAUAAAAUUAAAGCUUUUUUAAAAAUAAUUAAAAAAUUAAAACUUUUUUAAGAGGAAUUUGAGAGAAUAUUGGAGAGAAAUUAAAAGAAAGGAUUUAGGUGUGAAAAAAAUGAAAGGAGGGUUUAUAGUUUUUUUGUACCGUUGGGGGUCACCAACAAUCAAAAAAGUAGCCGUUGCUACUGUUCACACGCGGCAAAACGCGUUUUCCUACCUCGUCACUUGACAACACGCUAACGUGGAUACGUUUUCGGGAAAUUAGACCAUUCUGAUAAUUAAUUUUUUACCGGACUCAUUUCAAUAAUUAAAAAAAAAAGCUUUUAUUGGUAUUUUGUCACCGUUUUUACUAUAUACUAUUUGCUUUUAUUAAAAAGUUGUCUUUUUCUUUAUUGUUGAAAUAUCCAAAGCUUCACUCUCCUCCACCCACCAUUUAUUUUGAUAUUUGAUUCUUUGACAUUUUUGGGUGUUUUUUUAUUUUCUGUUUUCCGUUACCUGUUUGAUUGAAGAACUUGGGAAACAAAUAUUUCUUGUUAUCUCAUCUGGUUGUUUAUGCCCUUUAUAAAUAAUUUCAGAAGCUUGGAUUUUGCACUAAGAACCACUUGUUGUUUUCCUUUUGUUAAAUUGCUGGGUCUUUUUGAUUAAAUUGAGUAAAUUCAGUGGGAAUCGGUCAUGGAGGGCAAAUGUGCAAUCAAGAAAGAUGUUACUGAAGUAAUGUUUCUUCUUCUCAGUCAUUUAAUACUGUUGGUGUUUUAAGCCAUUAAUGUACUGCAAACUUGUUUUUAAUCUCCUUGUGGGUUUAUGCAGUUAAUAGGUAAUACCCCUAUGGUAUAUCUGAACCAUAUCGUCGAUGGCUGCGGUGCUCGAAUUGCUGCCAAGCUCGAGCUGAUGGAACCUUGCUCCAGUGUUAAGGACAGGCAUAUGCUCUUUUUUUUCAUUUGCAUUUUUGAUUUUGUACAUUGUUCACAGCAUCUUGGAAAAGUGUUGCCUGCAAAUCAACACCUUUGGUCAUUGUUUUAUCUAUGUGCAGGAUUGCAGACAGUAUGAUUAAAGAUGCAGAAGAUAAGGGCUUGAUUACACCAGGGAAGGUAUGGUUCCAUCUUUCGGAUUAAUGCAUAUCAAGUGAUUGUUUGAUAACCUAACCAGGAAGAAAUAUAGAUCCUAUGAUCUAAUAUAGUAUGGUCUAUUUUUCUGUUUUGCUUGGUAUGGUACCUUAUUCGGUUUAGCUUUCGGGUUAAUGCGUAUGAAGUGAUGAUAACCUAACCGGGAAGGAAUUGUAGAUCUGAGAAUACUUAAAUUUUAGAUUGUUUCGUAAGAUUUUGUUAUCAUGAUAUCUUCUGCAGUUUUGCUUCAGUUGACUUUUGAUCCAAUGAGGGGUAUUUAAGCUAACAAAUUUCUCAUUUGUUCUGCUUAUGUUGAAAUAAUAUUGGUUAAACAGUGUCCUUAUCGGGCCUACCGGUGGUAAUACCGGCAUUGGAUUGGCUUUCAUUGGAGCAGCUAGGGGUUAUAGAGUUAUUGUCACGAUGCCAGCUUCUAUGAGCAUUGAGAGGAGAACCGUUCUUCGAGCUUUUGGAGCUGAAGUAUGCCUCACAAACCCAGCCAAGGACUUUAAGGGGGUAUUAGACAAGGCUGACGAGAUACUGAAGAACACACCUAACGGUUACAUGCUACAGCAAUUCGCAAACCCUGCCAAUCCUCAGGUAGCAUCUUUACUGUUGUAACAUUUCUACUAUUUCAUCAGGUGAUGUUUAAAAGAAGUAACGAAUUCUUUGUUUAAGAUUCAUUACGAAACCACCGGUCCA
This 17072-nucleotide long non-coding RNA is filed under the name Gossypium raimondii (Peruvian cotton). RNAcentral describes it as "long non-coding RNA (GRAI_LNC010935)". Lineage: Eukaryota; Viridiplantae; Streptophyta; Magnoliopsida; Malvales; Malvaceae. The record is from RNAcentral.